This 1014-nucleotide ribosomal RNA is filed under the name Triticum aestivum (bread wheat). RNAcentral describes it as "partial small subunit ribosomal RNA". The record is from RNAcentral. Lineage: Eukaryota; Viridiplantae; Streptophyta; Magnoliopsida; Poales; Poaceae.
AUGGUGAAGGACACCGCGUACUACGACACCUUGGGGGUCAGCACUGACGCCGCCGCCGCCGAGAUCAAGAAGGCGUAUUACCUCAAGGCCAAGAUGGUUCACCCGGACAAGAAUCCCGGGAACCCCGAUGCCGCGCGAAAGUUUCAGGAGUUAGGUGAGGCCUAUCAAGUCCUAAGUGAUCCUGCGAAAAGGGAGUCUUAUGAUAAGCGUGGAAAAGAAGGUUUAUCCCAGGAUAAUAUGAUUGAUCCAACUACUGUCUUUGGGAUGCUUUUUGGGAGUGACUACUUUCAAGAUUAUGUUGGCCAGCUUGCAUUGGCAUCCGUGGCUUCCGUGGAGAGUGAGGAAGAUUCGGGUAGUCCAGAGGCAAGGGCAAGGAUUCAAGAGAAAAUAAAGUUGUUGCAAACGGAAAGAGAGCAAAAACUUAUUCUGAGCCUUAAGAAUCGAAUUCAACCAUACGUCGAUGGACAGCAAAAGGAAUUUGGCGACUGGGCAAGUGCAGAAGCUGAACGCUUGUCUCAAGCCGCUUUUGGUGAGGCUAUGCUUCACACCAUUGGCUACAUAUAUGUUCGACAAGCAGCAAGAGAACUUGGAAAAAGCAAAAUGUAUAUGGGCGUGCCAUUCAUUGCUGAGUGGGUAAGGGACAAGGGCCACCAUGUAAAGUCACAGGUUAAUGCAGCUUCAGGUGCAAUUGCUCUGAUACAAUUACAAGAGGGGAUGAAAAAGAUUGAGGAUGGUGACAACAAGGAAGAGCAGAUACUGAAGAGUAUUGAGGAGAAAAAGGAUGCCAUGCUUAAUUCUUUGUGGAAAAUUAAUGUGGUUGACAUUGAGUCAACAUUAUGGCGUGUCUGUCGAGCAUUUUUGAGAGAGAAUGCUGUCUCCAAAGAUGUUCUCACGUUGCGAGCAAAAGGACUGAAAAAGCUGGGGACAAUAUUCCAAGGCGCGAAAUCACCCUACCAUCGCGAGAACAGCCUGCGUGUUGAACGUCGCACGGCGGAGGAGACGCCGUCGAACUGA